AAACAGAAAAAUCAAAGAAAUCCGAUUUGCCUUUUCUAUUUGAUAUACAAAAACGAAACAAUCGCCUAAAAAAAAAAAAAAAAAAAAAAAAG
RNAcentral lists this non-coding RNA (92 nucleotides) under Favella ehrenbergii. Lineage: Eukaryota; Ciliophora; Spirotrichea; Tintinnida; Xystonellidae. The record is from RNAcentral.